Molecule: ribosomal RNA, 863 nt
Filed under: uncultured archaeon
Lineage: Archaea
Description: SSU rRNA
Rfam family: Archaeal small subunit ribosomal RNA
Source: RNAcentral
UACCAGCCCCCUGAGUGGUAAGGACGAUUAUUUGGCCUAAAGCGUCCGUAGCCGGCUUAGCAAGUCUUUUGUUAAAUCCAACGAUUCAAUCGUUGGGCCGCAAAAGAUACUGUUAUGCUAGAGGACGGGAGAGGUCGACGGUAGUCCAGGGGUAGGGGUGAAAUCCUAUAAUCCUUGGAGGACCACCAGUGGCGAAGGCGGUCGACUAGAACGUGCCUGACGGUGAGGGACGAAAGCUGGGGGGGCGAACCGGAUUAGAUACCCGGGUAGUCCCAGCUGUAAACGAUGCGGGCUAGGUGUUGGGGUAGCCACGAGCUGCCCCAGUGCCGCAGAGAAGUUGUUAAGCCCGCCGCCUGGGGAGUACGGCCGCAAGGCUGAAACUUAAAGGAAUUGGCGGGGGAGCACCACAAGGGGUGAAGGCUGCGGUUUAAUUGGAGUCAACGCCGGGAACCUUACCGGGGCUGACAGCAGGGUGAAGGCCAGACUGAAGAUCUUGCCAGACAAGCUGAGAGGAGGUGCAUGGCCGUCGCCAGUUCGUGCCGUGAGGUGUCCUGUUAAGUCAGGCAACGAACGAGACCCCUGCUGCUAGUUGCCAGCGGAUUCCAACGGAAUGCCGGGCACACUAGCAGGACUGCCACCGAGAAGGUGGAGGAAGGGGGGGGCAACGGCAGGUCAGUAUGCCCCGAAUGCCUCGGGCCACACGCGGCCUGCAAUGGUAGGGACAAUGGGAUCCGACCUUGAAAAGGGAAGGCAAUCCCCAAACCCUAUCUCAGUCGGGAUUGAGGGCUGGAACUCGCCCUCAUGAACAUGGAAUCCCUAGUAACCGCGUGUCAUCAUCGCGCGGUGAAUACGUCCCCGCUCCU